RNAcentral lists this ribosomal RNA (274 nucleotides) under uncultured bacterium. RNAcentral's name for it is "partial 16S ribosomal RNA". It matches the Rfam family "Bacterial small subunit ribosomal RNA", at positions 523 to 796 of the family's 1533-position model. The record is from RNAcentral.
AGACGGGGGGUGCUAGCGUUGUUCGGAAUUACUGGGCGUAAAGGGCGCGUAGGCGGCUCUGCGAGUCGGGCGUGAAAUCCCGGGGCUCAACGCCGGAACGGCGCUCGAUACUGCGGGGCUGGAGACCGGAAGAGGAGGGUGGAAUUCCCAGUGUAGAGGUGAAAUUCGUAGAUAUUGGGAGGAACACUGGUGGCGAAAGCGGCUCUCUGGUCCGGUUCUGACGCUGAGGCGCGAAAGCGUGGGGAGCAAACAGGAUUAGAUACCCCAGUAGUCC